GACGAACGCUGGCGGCGCGCCUAACACAUGCAAGUCGAACGAGCGAGAGAGAGCUUACUUUCUCAAGCGAGUGGCGAACGGGUGAGUAACGCGUGAGGAACCUGCCUCAAAGAGGGGGACAACAGUUGGAAACGACUGCUAAUACCGCAUAAGCCCACAGGUCGGCAUCGACCAGAGGGAAAAGGAGCAAUCCGCUUUGAGAUGGCCUCGCGUCCGAUUAGCUGGUUGGUGAGGUAACGGCCCACCAAGGCGACGAUCGGUAGCCGGACUGAGAGGACGAUCAGCCACACUGGGACUGAGACACGGCCCAG
RNAcentral lists this ribosomal RNA (311 nucleotides) under uncultured bacterium. Its description in RNAcentral is "bacterial SSU rRNA". It matches the Rfam family "Bacterial small subunit ribosomal RNA", at positions 28 to 334 of the family's 1533-position model. The record is from RNAcentral.